RNAcentral lists this ribosomal RNA (505 nucleotides) under uncultured bacterium. RNAcentral's name for it is "partial 16S ribosomal RNA". It matches the Rfam family "Bacterial small subunit ribosomal RNA", at positions 28 to 507 of the family's 1533-position model. The record is from RNAcentral.
GACGAACGCUGGCGGCGUGCCUAAUACAUGCAAGUAGAACGCACAGUUUAUACCGUAGCUUGCUACACCAUAGACUGUGAGUUGCGAACGGGUGAGUAACGCGUAGGUAACCUGCCUGGUAGCGGGGGAUAACUAUUGGAAACGAUAGCUAAUACCGCAUAAUAUUAAUUAUUGCAUGAUAAUUAAUUGAAAGGUGCAAUUGCACCACUACCAGAUGGACCUGCGUUGUAUUAGCUAGUAGGUGAGGUAACGGCUCACCUAGGCGACGAUACAUAGCCGACCUGAGAGGGUGAUCGGCCUCACUGGGACUGAGACACGGCCCAGACUCCUACGGGAGGCAGCAGUAGGGAAUCUUCGGCAAUGGACGAAAGUCUGACCGAGCAACGCCGCGUGAGUGAAGAAGGUUUUCGGAUCGUAAAGCUCUGUUGUAAGAGAAGAACGGGUGUGAGAGUGGAAAGUUCACACUGUGACGGUAUCUUACCAGAAAGGGACGGCUAACUACGUG